UCCGCCAUGGUGUAAUCGGGCAGCAUAGGGGACUUUGAAUCCUUUGGUGCAGGUUCAAAUCCUGCUGGCGGAG
Molecule: transfer RNA, 73 nt
Filed under: Streptomyces sp. CNZ306
Lineage: Bacteria; Bacillati; Actinomycetota; Actinomycetes; Kitasatosporales; Streptomycetaceae
Description: tRNA-Gln
Rfam family: tRNA
About the family: Transfer RNA (tRNA) molecules are approximately 80 nucleotides in length. Their secondary structure includes four short double-helical elements and three loops (D, anti-codon, and T loops).
Source: RNAcentral